Molecule: small nucleolar RNA, 86 nt
Organism: Rhododendron vialii
Lineage: Eukaryota; Viridiplantae; Streptophyta; Magnoliopsida; Ericales; Ericaceae
Product: small nucleolar RNA SNORD34
Exons: 1
Source: RefSeq, a predicted model, not a curated record
UGAGGCCUGUGAUGAAUUUGAACAUUUGCCGACAUCGUCUGAUUGUUCAUGACGGAGAAUUUGGAACUGUACGUUCUGAGGCCACU